This 1346-nucleotide ribosomal RNA is filed under the name bacterium L6-3E. RNAcentral describes it as "bacterial SSU rRNA". It matches the Rfam family "Bacterial small subunit ribosomal RNA", at positions 36 to 1369 of the family's 1533-position model. The record is from RNAcentral.
AUCUCACCGUACUAUACAUGCAAGUCGAGCGAACAGAAGGGAGCUUGCUCCCGGAUGUUAGCGGCGGACGGGUGAGUAACACGUGGGUAACCUGCCUGUAAGACUGGGAUAACUCCGGGAAACCGGAGCUAAUACCGGAUAGUUCCUUGAACCGCAUGGUUCAAGGAUGAAAGACGGUUUCGGCUGUCACUUACAGAUGGACCCGCGGCGCAUUAGCUAGUUGGUGGGGUAAUGGCUCACCAAGGCGACGAUGCGUAGCCGACCUGAGAGGGUGAUCGGCCACACUGGGACUGAGACACGGCCCAGACUCCUACGGGAGGCAGCAGUAGGGAAUCUUCCGCAAUGGACGAAAGUCUGACGGAGCAACGCCGCGUGAGUGAUGAAGGUUUUCGGAUCGUAAAGCUCUGUUGUUAGGGAAGAACAAGUGCGAGAGUAACUGCUCGCACCUUGACGGUACCUAACCAGAAAGCCACGGCUAACUACGUGCCAGCAGCCGCGGUAAUACGUAGGUGGCAAGCGUUGUCCGGAAUUAUUGGGCGUAAAGGGCUCGCAGGCGGUUUCUUAAGUCUGAUGUGAAAGCCCCCGGCUCAACCGGGGAGGGUCAUUGGAAACUGGGAAACUUGAGUGCAGAAGAGGAGAGUGGAAUUCCACGUGUAGCGGUGAAAUGCGUAGAGAUGUGGAGGAACACCAGUGGCGAAGGCGACUCUCUGGUCUGUAACUGACGCUGAGGAGCGAAAGCGUGGGGAGCGAACAGGAUUAGAUACCCUGGUAGUCCACGCCGUAAACGAUGAGUGCUAAGUGUUAUGGGGUUUCCGCCCCUUAGUGCUGCAGCUAACGCAUUAAGCACUCCGCCUGGGGAGUACGGUCGCAAGACUGAAACUCAAAGGAAUUGACGGGGGCCCGCACAAGCGGUGGAGCAUGUGGUUUAAUUCGAAGCAACGCUAGAACCUUACCAGGUCUUGACAUCCUCUGACACCCUAGAGAUAGGGCUUUCCCUUCGGGGACAGAGUGACAGGUGGUGCAUGGUUGUCGUCAGCUCGUGUCGUGAGAUGUUGGGUUAAGUCCCGCAACGAGCGCAACCCUUGAUCUUAGUUGCCAGCAUUUAGUUGGGCACUCUAAGGUGACUGCCGGUGACAAACCGGAGGAAGGUGGGGAUGACGUCAAAUCAUCAUGCCCCUUAUGACCUGGGCUACACACGUGCUACAAUGGACAGAACAAAGGGCUGCGAGACCGCAAGGUUUAGCCAAUCCCAUAAAUCUGUUCUCAGUUCGGAUCGCAGUCUGCAACUCGACUGCGUGAAGCUGGAAUCGCUAGUAAUCGCGGAUCAGCAUACCGCAGUAACUUAC